AUGCAGUCGAGCGCGAAAGGUCUUCGGACUGAGUAGAGCGGCGGACGGGUGAGUAACGCGUAGGAAUCUACCCAGUGGUGGGGGACAACUCGGGGAAACUCGAGCUAAUACCGCAUACGCCCUACGGGGGAAAGCGGGGGAUCUUCGGACCUCGCGCCAUUGGAUGAGCCUGCGUCGGAUUAGCUAGUUGGUGGGGUAAAAGCCUACCAAGGCGACGAUCCGUAGCUGGUCUGAGAGGACGAUCAGCCACACUGGGACUGAGACACGGCCCAGACUCCUACGGGAGGCAGCAGUGGGGAAUAUUGCGCAAUGGGCGAAAGCCUGACGCAGCCAUGCCGCGUGUGUGAAGAAGGCUCUAGGGUUGUAAAGCACUUUCAAUUGGGAGAAAAAGCCGACGGCUAAUACCGGUCGGUCUUGAUGUUACCUUUAGAAGAAGCACCGGCUAACUCCGUGCCAGCAGCCGCGGUAAUACG
RNAcentral lists this ribosomal RNA (473 nucleotides) under uncultured bacterium. RNAcentral's name for it is "bacterial SSU rRNA". It matches the Rfam family "Bacterial small subunit ribosomal RNA", at positions 55 to 527 of the family's 1533-position model. The record is from RNAcentral.